This 364-nucleotide ribosomal RNA is filed under the name Actinomycetota bacterium. RNAcentral's name for it is "bacterial SSU rRNA". It matches the Rfam family "Bacterial small subunit ribosomal RNA", at positions 1 to 359 of the family's 1533-position model. Lineage: Bacteria; Bacillati; Actinomycetota. The record is from RNAcentral.
UCACGGAGAGUUUGAUCCUGGCUCAGGACGAACGCUGGCGGCGCGCUUAACACAUGCAAGUCGAGCGAGAACCGGCCCUUCGGGGCCGGGGAAAGCGGCGAACGGGUGAGUAACACGUAGGUAAUCCACCCACGGUUCUGGGAUAGCCCGGGGAAACCCGGAUUAAUACCGGAUGGCCUCUUGAGCCCUCGGGCUCUCGAGAAAAGGGAGCUUCGGCCUCUGACCGUGGACGAGCCUGCGGCGGAUUAGCUUGUUGGCGGGGUAACGGCCCACCAAGGCGACGAUCCGUAGCUGGUCUGAGAGGACGAUCAGCCACACUGGGACUGAGACACGGCCCAGACUCCUACGGGAGGCAGCAGUGGGG